UCACGUCCUUUCUAGACGAUCAUCAGGCGAUUUUGUUCACGAUUUUGUUACUGAUUACGCAAUCACGUAAUCAGUAACAAAAUCGUGAACAAAAUCGCCUGAUGAUCGUCUAGAAAGGACGUG
Molecule: non-coding RNA, 123 nt
Organism: Paramuricea clavata
Lineage: Eukaryota; Metazoa; Cnidaria; Anthozoa; Malacalcyonacea; Plexauridae
Source: the annotation of a GenBank genome assembly